AGCUCCAAUAGCGUAUAUUAAAGUUGUUGCAGUUAAAAAGCUCGUAGUUGGAUUUCUGUCGAGAGUCCGGGUCGGCCUUAACGGGUUGCACUGUUGUGACGUCUCGUCGUUUCGGGGGGAAUGGGCUCGCUAUUAGGUUAGUGUGUUCGGGAACCCCGUCGUUUACUGUGAAAAAUUAGAGUGUUCAAAGCAGGCCUUUGCUGUGAAUACAUUAGCAUGGAAUAAUAAGAUAGGACUGUAGUGCUAUUUUGUUGGUUUGCGUACUAUGGUAAUGAUUAAUAGGGAUAGUUGGGGGUAUUCAUAUUCAAUUGUCAGAGGUGAAAUUCUUGGAUUUAUGGAAGAUGAACUACUGCGAAAGCAUUUACCAAGGAUGUUUUCA
Molecule: ribosomal RNA, 379 nt
Filed under: uncultured eukaryote
Lineage: Eukaryota
Description: SSU rRNA
Rfam family: Eukaryotic small subunit ribosomal RNA
Source: RNAcentral